This 675-nucleotide ribosomal RNA is filed under the name uncultured bacterium. Its description in RNAcentral is "bacterial SSU rRNA". It matches the Rfam family "Bacterial small subunit ribosomal RNA", at positions 94 to 803 of the family's 1533-position model. The record is from RNAcentral.
AGUGGCAGACGGGUGAGUAACAUGUGGGUAUCUACCCUUUGGCCUGGAAUAACACGAGGAAACUUGUGCUAAUACCGGAUAAGUCUUUACGGAGAAAGCUUUAUGCACCAUUGGAUGAGCCCGCACUUGAUUAGUUUGUUGGUAGGGUAAUGGCCUACCAAGACUAUGAUCAAUAGCUGAUUUGAGAGGAUGAUCAGCCACAUUGGGACUGAGACACGGCCCAAACUCCUACGGGAGGCAGCAGUGGGGAAUCUUGCACAACGGAGGAAACUCUGAUGCAGCGAUGCCGCGUGAGUGAAGAAGGCCUUUGGGUUGUAAAGCUCUUUCGUCGGGGAAGAAAAUGACUGUACCCGAAUAAGAAGGUCCGGCUAACUUCGUGCCAGCAGCCGCGGUAAUACGAAGGGACCUAGCGUAGUUCGGAAUUACUGGGCUUAAAGAGUUCGUAGGUGGUUGAAAAAGUUGGUGGUGAAAUCACAGAGCUUAACUCUGGAACUGCCAUCAAAACUUUUCAGCUAGAGUAUGAUAGAGGAAAGCAGAAUUUCUAGUGUAGAGGUGAAAUUCGUAGAUAUUAGAAAGAAUACCAAUUGCGAAGGCAGCUUUCUGGAUCAUUACUGACACUGAGGAACGAAAGCAUGGGUAGCGAAGAGGAUUAGAUACCCUCGUAGUCCAUGCCGA